RNAcentral lists this ribosomal RNA (422 nucleotides) under uncultured bacterium. Its description in RNAcentral is "partial 16S ribosomal RNA". It matches the Rfam family "Bacterial small subunit ribosomal RNA", at positions 361 to 776 of the family's 1533-position model. The record is from RNAcentral.
AUUUUGUACAAUAGGGGCAACCCUGCUCCAGCCAUCCCGCGUGUAUGAUGAAGGCAUACGGGUUGUAAAGUACUUUUGCUAGAGAAGAAAAGGUACCUCCUAAUACGAGGUACUGCUGAAGGUAUCUGAAGAAUAAGCACAGCAUAACUAGUUGCCAGCACCCGAGCUAAUCCGUAGGGUUCAAGCGUUAAUCGGAAUUACUGGAUGUAAAGCAAGUGUGGGCGAUUCGGAAAGAAAGUUGUGAAGUCCAAGGGCUCAACCUUGGAACUGCAGUUUAAAUUACAGAGGUUGGGUAGAUCGGGGGGGGGAAGAAUGCAAUGUGAAGAGGUGAGUUGAGAAGAUAUGUGAUGGAAUACAAAAGCGGAAGGCAGCCCCUGGGAUAAUACUGACGCUCAGACACGAAAGCGUAGGGAGCAAACAGG